RNAcentral lists this ribosomal RNA (2152 nucleotides) under Salmonella enterica subsp. enterica serovar Enteritidis. Its description in RNAcentral is "partial 23S ribosomal RNA". It matches the Rfam family "Bacterial large subunit ribosomal RNA", at positions 671 to 2803 of the family's 2925-position model. Lineage: Bacteria; Pseudomonadati; Pseudomonadota; Gammaproteobacteria; Enterobacterales; Enterobacteriaceae. The record is from RNAcentral.
GGGAAACCGAGUCUUAAUUGGGCGUUAAGUUGCAGGGUAUAGACCCGAAACCCGGUGAUCUAGCCAUGGGCAGGUUGAAGGUUGGGUAACACUAACUGGAGGACCGAACCGACUAAUGUUGAAAAAUUAGCGGAUGACCUGUGGCUGGGGGUGAAAGGCCAAUCAAACCGGGAGAUAGCUGGUUCUCCCCGAAAGCUAUUUAGGUAGCGCCUCGUGAAUUCAUCUCCGGGGGUAGAGCACUGUUUCGGCUAGGGGGCCAUCCCGGCUUACCAACCCGAUGCAAACUGCGAAUACCGGAGAAUGUUAUCACGGGAGACACACGGCGGGUGCUAACGUCCGUCGUGAAGAGGGAAACAACCCAGACCGCCAGCUAAGGUCCCAAAGUCAUGGUUAAGUGGGAAACGAUGUGGGAAGGCCCAGACAGCCAGGAUGUUGGCUUAGAAGCAGCCAUCAUUUAAAGAAAGCGUAAUAGCUCACUGGUCGAGUCGGCCUGCGCGGAAGAUGUAACGGGGCUAAACCAUGCACCGAAGCUGCGGCAGCGACGCUUAUGCGUUGUUGGGUAGGGGAGCGUUCUGUAAGCCUGCGAAGGUGGCCUGUGAGGGUUGCUGGAGGUAUCAGAAGUGCGAAUGCUGACAUAAGUAACGAUAAAGCGGGUGAAAAGCCCGCUCGCCGGAAGACCAAGGGUUCCUGUCCAACGUUAAUCGGGGCAGGGUGAGUCGACCCCUAAGGCGAGGCCGAAAGGCGUAGUCGAUGGGAAACGGGUUAAUAUUCCCGUACUUGGUGUUACUGCGAAGGGGGGACGGAGAAGGCUAUGUUGGCCGGGCGACGGUUGUCCCGGUUUAAGCGUGUAGGUGUGUGUUCCAGGUAAAUCCGGUUCACUUUAACACUGAGGCGUGACGACGAGGCACUACGGUGCUGAAGCAACAAAUGCCCUGCUUCCAGGAAAAGCCUCUAAGCAUCAGGUAACAUCAAAUCGUACCCCAAACCGACACAGGUGGUCAGGUAGAGAAUACCAAGGCGCUUGAGAGAACUCGGGUGAAGGAACUAGGCAAAAUGGUGCCGUAACUUCGGGAGAAGGCACGCUGACACGUAGGUGAAGUGAUUUACUCAUGGAGCUGAAGUCAGUCGAAGAUACCAGCUGGCUGCAACUGUUUAUUAAAAACACAGCACUGUGCAAACACGAAAGUGGACGUAUACGGUGUGACGCCUGCCCGGUGCCGGAAGGUUAAUUGAUGGGGUCAGCGCAAGCGAAGCUCCUGAUCGAAGCCCCGGUAAACGGCGGCCGUAACUAUAACGGUCCUAAGGUAGCGAAAUUCCUUGUCGGGUAAGUUCCGACCUGCACGAAUGGCGUAAUGAUGGCCAGGCUGUCUCCACCCGAGACUCAGUGAAAUUGAACUCGCUGUGAAGAUGCAGUGUACCCGCGGCAAGACGGAAAGACCCCGUGAACCUUUACUAUAGCUUGACACUGAACAUUGAGCCUUGAUGUGUAGGAUAGGUGGGAGGCUUUGAAGUGUGGACGCCAGUCUGCAUGGAGCCGACCUUGAAAUACCACCCUUUAAUGUUUGAUGUUCUAACGUGGACCCGUUACCCGGGUUGCGGACAGUGUCUGGUGGGUAGUUUGACUGGGGCGGUCUCCUCCUAAAGAGUAACGGAGGAGCACGAAGGUUGGCUAAUCCUGGUCGGACAUCAGGAGGUUAGUGCAAUGGCAUAAGCCAGCUUGACUGCGAGCGUGACGGCGCGAGCAGGUGCGAAAGCAGGUCAUAGUGAUCCGGUGGUUCUGAAUGGAAGGGCCAUCGCUCAACGGAUAAAAGGUACUCCGGGGAUAACAGGCUGAUACCGCCCAAGAGUUCAUAUCGACGGCGGUGUUUGGCACCUCGAUGUCGGCUCAUCACAUCCUGGGGCUGAAGUAGGUCCCAAGGGUAUGGCUGUUCGCCAUUUAAAGUGGUACGCGAGCUGGGUUUAGAACGUCGUGAGACAGUUCGGUCCCUAUCUGCCGUGGGCGCUGGAGAACUGAGGGGGGCUGCUCCUAGUACGAGAGGACCGGAGUGGACGCAUCACUGGUGUUCGGGUUGUCAUGCCAAUGGCACUGCCCGGUAGCUAAAUGCGGAAGAGAUAAGUGCUGAAAGCAUCUAAGCACGAAACUUGCCCCGAG